Long non-coding RNA from Felis catus (domestic cat), 3234 nucleotides. RefSeq lists it as uncharacterized. The transcript is spliced from 4 exons. The record is from RefSeq and is a predicted model, not a curated record. NCBI's taxonomy places the organism in Eukaryota, Metazoa, Chordata, Mammalia, Carnivora, Felidae.
UCCUCCAGGAUGUCAUGUAGUUGGAGUCAUACAGCAUAAACUCUUUCCAUAUUGGCUUCUUUCACGCGGCAAAUGGGUCAAGUUUCUUCCUUGCCUGUUUGUGGCUUCAUAGCUCAUUUCUUUUGAUCUCUGUAAAUAUCACACUGUCUGGAUGGACCAGUGUCUUUAUCCACUCACCUAUCAGAAGGCAUCUAAACUUUGACAAUUGUUCCCUACCGGGUCUUCUCGUGGUCGGUGGCGGACAGUGGGUGUAACCAUGGAGGAGGCCGUGCAGUGCUUGCCUCGGAUCCUUGGCGGCCGGCCUCCGGGGCACUGACCAGCUCGUGUGAAGGGAACACUCCGGGUGGUCUACUGCUUAGGAUGGCCCCUAACACGCUCUUCAGGCAAUAACUUGGGAAAAUGCCAACGUUCGAGAACUCGAUACAGAACUCUAAGUCUCGAUGAUGUUUUGCCUGUCGACUUGAGCUGGAAUAUCUGACCGUAUUAGUCUACACUCAGCAUGUGACAAACCAUUUCCAAAUCCUCUAACAACAGGCUUCUAAUUCAGUAUGCCACGGGAUAAAUACUCCAGAUCUUUGACACUGAAGGAGAAAGCUUUCAGCAAUUUUAAGUCCAGGGAUGAUGAAUGUCAGAAAUGUAAUUUCUAAACUUGGUAGUGGUGCUUUUACUAAAUUCAAUUCACACCGUGAAUGUCCUUCAAAGAACAUGCAAAGAAAAUGUUUUUUAAUUCAAUUGUUUAUGACUAAAACCUAAGUUUCAACAGAAAUUCAGCUAAACUUUGAAACUCAGAGUUAAAAGAUUAAGAAAAUGUUCUGCUCUUGUGUAUGGAUAGAUGAUGAUGUUGUAGACCAAUAGCGUUUGCCGUUUGUGACCAAAUAGUGGUAAAAAGUAAGACCAUGAAUUACUGGGCUUUUGAUUAGCAUUAAAAUUCUGAAAAUUAAAAAAAAAAAGUGAGAGGGAGAGAGAAUGAAAAAAUGAAAGGAAGGGAAAGAGAAAGAGAGAAGAGGAAAGAAGGGAAGGAAAUCGGAAUUUGGAAGUUCCCUCGAGUGGCCUCACUCUCUCACGUCCCCCCGUGACGCAGGGUGACGGUUUGGGCGGCUGGGGCCCCUCGCCAGCACUUGGCCCCUUCAUUUCAGCCCUUCUGCCACCUGUGUGGUACGUGGUAACGGUUUUAACUUGCAUUUUUCUAGUGAGUAAAGAGGUUAAACAUCGUUUCCGGUACUUCUCAGUCGCAGGUGUAUCUUCUUUAGUGAAACGUCUGUUCGAAUGUUACGCUCGUUUAGAAAUACAGCCUUCAGCCGCCAGCUCCCAAAUGGGGUUCGUAUUCACCCCCUCCCACACUGUCUAGCUCCGAUCCUCAUUUUCUCUUAUGGAGACUCCCUGCCCGUCUCCCAGCCACGGCCCCCGCCACCUGCACUGCGCCCCCGCCACGCUACCAGAGGAAGCGCGUCCACGCGUGGGGCUCACGUCCUCCCGUGCAGGCAUCGCCAGAGGGUGCCGAGCGUCAGGGUCUUUCCAUCGUCCUUCAGCCGCCACGUGGGCACCUUCUCGAUCUGCUGCUCCCUGUCCGUUUCACCCUGGCGCCCAUCCCCUACCCCUCUUCUCACUUUAUUUUCACCGACAUCAGCCUAAAUGCAGCCCCGGGAAAGCCUCCUUGGAAGAGCAGGGGCUCUCCCACGCUUUCGGCCCCUACAGGUAUGACUUCUGCCGAGACUGUUUCUCCUCGAGUCAUAUUGGAGCCACACUCUCUGAGCAGACUGGAGGUCCCUCUGCCCUCGUAAUUUUCCAUAACGCAAACAUCCCGUUGUAUUCUCAUGAAAGGUCUUCGGUUCUGGUGAGCCCGCCCUGUCUCGAGGGUCACCUCGAAGCAAACCUCUGAUGAGCUCUUGUGGAGAGAAGUGUCCGAAAUCACCCAGGCCAAAGAAAUGCUGGGAAGGGUGCUGUUCUGUGACACCCACCGGUCUCAUGUCGGGUUCCCACACCAUCUCGUGUUUCUUGCUUCUUGGCCUUUUGUGAUUAUUUUCUAGGAUGGACUUGAUUUCACCUUCUAUCUCUUCUACCACAUUUUUGUUCUCUCAUUUCCGAGAGUCACUGUCCUCGGAUAAUUUUGCUUUCAUGGCGUCCUGUUGUUAAUGCGGGUAUGAUAAACUUAUAUUUUUAAAAACAGCUUCAUUGAGGUGUAAUGGACAUUCAGUGAACCACAUGUAUUUAUAAAGCGUAUAACAUGAUGCAUACAGAUGUGAAACCGUCGCACAAGCAAGAUAAGGAGCACCAACCCCGAAUGUUUCCUCUGGUCCUUUUGUAAAGCCCCCAGCCGAGCCCCCGCCCGCAGGCAAACGCUUCCCAUUCCUAAUACAGCAUGCGUUCUUUUUUUGUCUCGCCCCUUUCCGUCAGCAUGGUGACGCUGAGACGUUAUUUUCUUGCUACUGUUCAUAGUUUCUUCCUCUCUUCCUGCACAGUAGUAUUCCAUCGUAUGGAUAUACCACAAGACAGUUAGUCAUUCACCUGCCUAAGGACAAUUGGGUUGUUUCCAGUUUGGGGCUGUUGCAAAUAAAGCUGCUAUGAUCAUUCCCGUAAAUGCCUCUGUAUACAUUCUACGCUUUCAUUUCUCUUGGGCAGUUACCUAGGAGUGAAAUAUUUGGGUCAUAUAGCAAGUGUAUGUCUAACUUUUAAACUGCCAGAGUGUUUUCACCAUCUCACAUUCCCACCAGCAGGUGUGUGUGAGUUUCAGAGUCUCUGCUUCCUCACCAAGCCUUCGUUGGUCGUUUUCUCCGAUUUCAGUUAUUCUAAGGGACGGGGAGUGUGGUGUGAUUGGCGUUUCCCUAAUGACUAGAGGUGGUAAGCGUCUUUGCACCUACUUACUGGCCUGCCGCCUGUAUGUAUUCUUUGAUGAAGAGUCUGUUCAAAUCUUUUGCCCGUGGUAAAGAUUGUUCUGAAGUUUUUAUUGUUGAAAUUUGAGGGUUCUUUGUGGAUUUGGAUGCAGAACUCUUAUCGGACACGCGAUUUGUCAGUCACACCAGCAGUCCAUUCCUGAACAUUGCUGGGUCACAUUCCAGGGCACCGCAUCCCUCUGGCCACUCACCUGCAGAGGCCCAGCCUCCCCUGAUGUUACAAUUUGUUUCUAAAACAUUUCCCUUUUGCUUCUGGAAUGAUGUUUUCUUCAGAGGCAUUUGCUUUUCUUCCACGAUGUAACCUUUUCUAAGUACCUGGCGAUCCCUGACCUUCAGUGCACAU